RNAcentral lists this RNase P RNA (470 nucleotides) under Candidatus Falkowbacteria bacterium CG_4_10_14_0_2_um_filter_48_10. RNAcentral describes it as "RNase P RNA component class A". It matches the Rfam family "Bacterial RNase P class A". From Rfam's summary of the family: Ribonuclease P (RNase P) is a ubiquitous endoribonuclease, found in archaea, bacteria and eukarya as well as chloroplasts and mitochondria. Its best characterised activity is the generation of mature 5'-ends of tRNAs by cleaving the 5'-leader elements of precursor-tRNAs. Lineage: Bacteria; Candidatus Falkowiibacteriota. The record is from RNAcentral. RNAcentral also lists the same sequence under 1 other name.
CGCGGCCAGCGGAAAGCUAAGCAAAAUAUUUUUAUUUUGUUAGGAAAGUCCGGACUUCCUUCGGCGGACAAGUUUUCUUGUCUGGCGCAUGAAAGGGCAGUGGGUAACGCCCACCCUCUGUUUCGGAUUGAGCGGAAAUUGGCCAUUUUAUAAUGUCCGCCCGCUCCGGAACAGAGAGGGAAAGUGCCACAGAGACAAUACUACGGCCGCUUAAUCGCGGCCGGAAAGGUGAAAAGAGGCGGGAGGUGGGAAUUGAUAUCUAUCAAUUUUCGCUACCCGGCUCGUCCGCCGGUGACGGCGGAACGCGGUAAACCCUGCCUGAAGCAAGAGCAAACCUGUCCGAUUUUUUCGGGCAGACGAAAAGUGGCUCGCGCGAGCCGGGCGGCAACGUCCGGCCAAGAUAAAUGGCUUUCCUUCCCGCGGUUUGGCCGCGCGGAAGACAGAAUCCGGCUUACAGCUGGCCGCGCCAA